AUUGAACGCUGGCGGCAGGCCUAACACAUGCAAGUCGAACGGUAACAGGAAGAAGCUUGCUUCUUUGCUGACGAGUGGCGGACGGGUGAGUAAUGUCUGGGAAACUGCCUGAUGGAGGGGGAUAACUACUGGAAACGGUAGCUAAUACCGCAUAACGUCGCAAGACCAAAAAGGGGGACCUUCGGGCCUCUUGCCAUCGGAUGUGCCCAGAUGGGAUUAGCUAGUAGGUGGGGUAACGGCUCACCUAGGCGACGAUCCCUAGCUGGUCUGAGAGGAUGACCAGCCACACUGGAACUGAGACACGGUCCAGACUCCUACGGGAGGCAGCAGUGGGGAAUAUUGGACAAUGGGCGAAAGCCUGAUGCAGCAAUGCCGCGUGUAUGAAGAAGGCCUUCGGGUUGUAAAGUACUUUCAGCGGGGAGGAAGGGAGUAAAGUUAAUACCGUCGCUGAAUGACGUUACCCGAAGAAGAAGCACCGGCUAACUACGUG
This 490-nucleotide ribosomal RNA is filed under the name uncultured bacterium. RNAcentral's name for it is "partial 16S ribosomal RNA". It matches the Rfam family "Bacterial small subunit ribosomal RNA", at positions 30 to 507 of the family's 1533-position model. The record is from RNAcentral.